RNAcentral lists this ribosomal RNA (444 nucleotides) under uncultured bacterium. RNAcentral's name for it is "partial 16S ribosomal RNA". It matches the Rfam family "Bacterial small subunit ribosomal RNA", at positions 354 to 796 of the family's 1533-position model. The record is from RNAcentral.
GUAAGGAAUAUUGGGCAAUGGUCGGAAGACUGACCCAGCCAUGCCGCGUGCAGGAAGACGGCCCUCUGGGUUGUAAACUGCUUUUAUCUGGGAAGAAAAAGGCCAUGCGUGGCAAAUUGCCGGUACCAGAUGAAUAAGCACCGGCUAACUCCGUGCCAGCAGCCGCGGUAAUACGGAGGGUGCGAGCGUUGUCCGGAUUGAUUGGGUUUAAAGGGUGCGUAGGCGGCUGAUUAAGUCAGCGGUGAAAGACUUCGGCUUAACCGGAGCAGUGCCGUUGAUACUGGUUGGCUUGAGUGUCGGAGGGGUACAUGGAAUUGAUGGUGUAGCGGUGAAAUGCAUAGAUACCAUCAGGAACACCGAUAGCGAAGGCAUUGUACUGGCCGACAACUGACGCUGAUGCACGAAAGUGUGGGGAUCGAACAGGAUUAGAAACCCCAGUAGUCC